Non-coding RNA from Mycena galericulata, 98 nucleotides. The record is from the annotation of a GenBank genome assembly. Lineage: Eukaryota; Fungi; Basidiomycota; Agaricomycetes; Agaricales; Mycenaceae.
UCGGAUGUGGUGUACGGCGCACACCCGUUUUUCGUGUGGUUGAAAUGCAGAGGAAAACGUGAAAGCGGGAGGUCUGGGUUCGAUUCCCGGCGUUUGAA